GACGAACGCUGGCGGCGUGCUUAACACAUGCGAGUCGAACGGUGAAGGGAUCAGCUUGCUGGUUCUGGGUGAGGGGCGAACGGGUGAGUAACACGUGAGUAACCUGCCCCCUUCUGCUGGAUAACCGCAUGAAAGUGUGGCUAAUACGGGAUAUUCUGCGCCUGCUGCAUGGGGGGUGUGGGAAAGAUGUUGUUUCGGUGGGGGAUGGGCUCGCGGCCUAUCAGCUUGGGGGUGGGGUGCUGGCCUGCCAAGGCGGGGACGGGGAGGCGGCCGGAGGGGGGCGGCGGUCACAGUGGGACUGGGACCCUGCCCAGUGUCCUACGGGCGGCAGCCGUGCGGGAUACUGCACAAGGGGCUCUAGCCUGAUGCAGCGACGCCGCGUGAGGGAUGGCGGCCUUCGGGUUGUGAACCUCUUUCGCCAGUGAAGCAGGCCUGUCUCUUGUGGGUGGGUUGACGGUAGCUGGAUAAGAAGCGCCGGCUAACUACGUG
Molecule: ribosomal RNA, 489 nt
Filed under: uncultured bacterium
Lineage: Bacteria
Description: partial 16S ribosomal RNA
Rfam family: Bacterial small subunit ribosomal RNA
Source: RNAcentral